Molecule: long non-coding RNA, 5782 nt
Organism: Mercenaria mercenaria
Lineage: Eukaryota; Metazoa; Mollusca; Bivalvia; Venerida; Veneridae
Exons: 3
Source: RefSeq, a predicted model, not a curated record
ACCGGACACGAAAAUUGCGGACAGACCGACAGACGGUUCAAAAACUAUAUGCCUCCCUUCGGGGGCAUAAAAAUACUAAAUUUAUAUGUUGAACACUACAUUUUCAUAACCCCAUUACUUUUCUUAAGUCCUAAUGUUUUUCUAAGACCUUUAUCCUUUCAGCUGUGAAGACACAGUACAAUUUUUUUUGUUUAAUAAAUCAACUUUCUCAGAAUCUUGAUGAAUGUCUAUACACCCAAAAAUGUCCCCUGUGCACCUUUUCAGUUGUUAAGUGUCAGAUUUCUUUUAUUCUUUGAAUAAAACUGGAUUUUACUUUAUUUUCCUUGAAAGGGAGUUACAAUGGAUACAAAAGCGGCUUUCAACUUCACAUAUUAAGGACUGUUAAACAUUCACAAAGCCAGAAGUGAUGUCCCCUGUGCACCCUUUUUUGACAUUCAUCAAUUAUCAUAGCAUUACUGUAAUAUGUGGUGGCAGUUCUAUAUUCUUAGCAGUGUACACGCAAAAUUUAGGCAUUACUUGAUAAUUUAGCAUUAUAUAAGUAACCCUGGACAAUUAAAAAUUCACUGUUUACAUUUUUUGUGAAGUUGCCAAUUUUCAAGUUUAAAAGUGGAAACAUCAAUUUUAUUGCUUCUUAAGCUCUUAAGUUUACCUACAUAUGUAAAUGUUCACUAGUGAAUAAUGUGUAGUUGACAGAAUCUUACUUACUAUGAACAUAUUCUAUGAAUAUAUAUUUUGCUACAAUUUGUCCCCUGUGCACCUUCUCAGUAACAUUAUUAAGUAUGUAAUUUUACUAUUCCAUUUUACCAUGCAUGGCAUUUUGUCAUUUUUCUACUAUGAAUAAGCAGUGCAUGUAAACUAAGUGAUUUCAAUGUGUUAGUAAUGUUUAAAGUCACUUAUUUUUCAUUUAAAGCAUUACAUGCUGUUAAAUUUUCAUGUUUUUGUUGUGAAAUUUUUCAGUUUUGUAGUUAUUUUGUGGAAUAAACUAAUUGUUUGAUAGGAUCUGUCUUAAGUUGACCACCAUUAGUCUUUUUAUGAACAAAAACUAAUAUUGAAUGCAUAUUACACUUAUUUUCAGUAUGUGUCCCCUGUGCAUCUGUAAAAUAACUCAAUUUUGAGUUGACAACUUUAGAAAUUAAAAUUACUGGACAUUCUUGAAAUUUGGCAUGUGGUUUAUAAACAUGCAAAAUGCGAGAAAAAAAUAGGAUUUAUAAUAAUAUGUUUAUUAUUUUUCAUUCAGCAACAACUUUUCUAGGUAAAAUUUUAUUUUCAUGUCAGAUUUGUGCAGAAAGGGUGAUUUUAAAAAGCAAUGUCCACAAACAUUUGAUUAAAUAAGUUUCAGACCAUACACAGACACCUAUUACAUAUCAUAUAUGUUGAAAAAAUUACUGUUAUACAUAUUUCCUUGUCAUAAAACACUGCAACAUUUAUCACCCAUCUUACUGGAAAUUCACUGAACUUUUGAAUUAAAGGCUGAAAUAUUUUCUGAUUGGUAUUUCUCAACACUUUCCCAAAGUUAUUUCCUUGAAAUUUGAAGUAUUUGCUAUCAUAAAAAAUAGGUGACCACCAUAAGAAAUAGGUUUGAAUUUUCAACCCCUAUGUCACACUUUUGCUUCAUUAUUUUGAAAACCACCCAUUUGGGAAUUUCAUAUUCAGGCUUGGGAAGAAACAUACUGUUUUCUUUGGGAUUACCUCCUUUUAUUGGAGGUAGAUUUAUAAUGGAAAAAGCCCUGAUUUUGGUUGUAAAUGACCAUUAGCAUGCUUUUUAUGUUAUUUGUAAAAAGAAGAUAAAGACAUAUUUUCAUUUCAAAAUGUAUAUAUUUUUGUAAAUUUAUUUGUUUUGUUUUUCAGCUGUGAGUUGUUUCUUUUGAAAAUGACUGCUUGAUGAUAAAGUUUCAAACAACUAUGAAGUGAGUGGAUGUUCUAGAGAGACUAAUUCUUCAAAGAAUGAAUGAUCAUCAUCAUGCUUAUAUUGGAAUAAAAGGAAGGAAGUGACAGCUACAGUCAGGGUAAAAGUAAAUGCAGUCAGAAGACCUCUGAUGUCACCUGAAGAGCCAGCCUUCUCAAGAUUCUGUAUCAAAUAAAAAUAACAAGGACUGCUGAAAAGACUUUUUAUAACUUGCAAAUGUGCAGCCUGUGACAUAACUGUCUGAUCCAGGUAGUUUAGUGUUGACAAGAUGACAUUUCAUCUCUAUAGUAGAGGACACAAGUUUGAAAUGCAGUAUGUCAUUGUGAAGGCAAAAUGUUUAUGAAAAUAGUGUGUGUGUGUCAGAUCUGUCCCAUUUUUGGAUUGCCACAGACCAAAAUAAUGAUUGGUGCCUUUGACAUAAAUAGAAGAACUCACACUGGACACCCUGAAGAUGGAAUUACAAGAAUGUAUGUUGUUUGCAUUAAUGUUUCUUUUUCAGAUUUAUGGAAAAAAAUUAGAAUGUCAUUUCUUAAAAAUGUUGAUAGUUGUUUAACCAAAGGCCCUGUAAUUGAAAAAUAUCUUUAUUCUUGACUUUAUAUUAAAAUAAAAAAAAUCUGAUACUGUUUGAUUACUUUUGCAUGUAUAACAUUAAAUUUGUUAUAUUUAAAUUUGAUAAAAUUUAAUGUAUUUUGAAAAAGAUGCACUUGAACAUAUCUAAAUGGAAUAAACACAUGACAGUCUUUGAAUAUCUGUAACAAGAGGACCAUGAUGAUCCUGAAUCGCUCACCUCUUCCCACAUGACCCAGUUUUGAAUAUGACGUCGUUUUUUCUAUUAUUUGACAUAGUGACCUAGUUUUUGAGCUCAUGUGACCCAGUUUUGAAUUUGACCUAGAUAUUAUCAAGAUAAAAAUUCUGACCAAUUUUCAUGAAGAUCCAUUGAAAAAUAUGUCCUCUAGAGAGGUCACAAGGUUUUUCUAUUAUUUGACCUAUUGACCUAGUUUUCGAAGGUACUGACCCUGUUUUGAACUUUACCUAGAUAUCAUCAAGGUGAACAUUCUCACUAAUUUUCAUGAAGAUUUCAUGAAAAAUAUGGCCUCUAGAGAGGUCACAAGGUUUUUCUAUUUUUACACCUACUGGCCUAGUUUUUGACAGCACGUAACCCAGUUUCGAACCUGACCUAGAUAUCAUCAAGGUGAACAUUCAGAUCAAUUUUCAUGAAGAUCCAUUGAAAAAUAUGGCCUCUAGAGAGGUCAAAAGAUUUUAAUAAUUUUAGGCCUACUGACCUAGUUUUUGACCGCAGUUGACCCAGUUUCAAACUUGGCCUAGAUAUCAUCAAGAUGAACAUUCAGACCAAUUUUCAUGAAGAUCCAUUCAAGGGUAUGGCUUCUAGAGAGGUCACAAGGUUUUUCUAUUUCAAGACCUACUGACCUAGUUUUUGAUUGCAGUUGACCCAGUUUCAAACUUGACCUCUAUAUCAUCUAGAUAAACAUUCAGACCAACUUUCAUACAGAUUCCAUGAAAAAUAUGGCCUUUAGAGAGGUCACAAUGUUUUUUUCAUUAUUUGACCUGCUGACCUAGUUUUUGGCGGCAAGUGACCCACUUACGAACUUGACCUAGAUAUCAUCAAGAUGAACAUUCAGACCAAUUUUUAUGGAGAUCCAUUCACAAGUAUGGCCUCUAGAGAGGUCACAAGGUUUUUCUAUUUUUAGACCUACUGACCUAGUUUUUGACCGCACAUGACCCUGUUUCAAACUUGACCUAGAUAUCAUCAAGAUGAACAUUCAGACCAACUUUCAUACAGAUCCCAUGAAAAAUACGGCCUUAAGAGGCGUCACAAGGUUUUUCUAUUAUUUGACCUACUGACCUAGUUUUUGACCGCACAUGACCCAGUUUCGAACUUGACCUAGAUAUCAUCAAGGUGAACAUUGUGACCAAUUUUCAUGAAGAUCUUAUGAAAUAUAUGGCCUCUAGAGGUCACAAGGUUUUUCUAUUUUUAGACCUACUGACCUAGUUUUUGAAGGCACGUGACCCAGUUUCGAACUUGACCUAGAUAUCAUCAAGGUGAACGUUCUGACCAAUUUUCAUGAAGAUCUCAUGAAAUAUAUGACCUCUAGAGAGGUCACAAGGUUUUUCUAUUUUUAGAUCUACUGACCUAGUUUUUGACCGCACGUGACUCGGUUUCAAACUUGACCUAGAUAUCAUCAAGAUGAACAUUCAGACCAACUUUCAUACAGAUCCCAUGAAAAAUAUGGCCUUUAGAGAGGUCACAAGGUUUUUCUAUUAUUUGACCUACUGACCUAGUUUUUGAAGGCACGUGACCCAGUUUCGAACUUGACUUAGAUAUCAUCAAGGUGUACGUUCUGACCAAUUUUCAUGAAGAUCUUGUGAAAUAUAUGGCCUCUAGAGAGGUCACAAGGUUUUUCUAUUUUUAGACCUACUGACCUAGUUUUUGAAGGCACGUGACCCAGUUUCGAACUUGACCUAGAUAUCAUCAAGGUGAACAUUCUGACCAACAUUCAUAAAGAUCCCACGAAAAAUGUGACCUCUAGAGUGGUCACAAGCAAAAGUUUACGGACGGACGCACGGACGGACGACGGACGCUGCGCGAUCACAAAAGCUCACCUUGUCACUAUGUGACAGGUGAGCUAAAAAAAAGCACAUGUUUUGCAGUUCUCAUCAGAUUUGGUUACCAAUUUACAGCAUAAUUAUACAUGAAGGCUUAUUACUCAAACAUAUGCAGAUCUAAUUGUAUAUUUUCUACCAUAGAUAAUUUUAUUUCAUAUAGAUUUUUUAAAUCUUUAAAAAAUACUGAGACAAUAUAGCAAAACAAUGGAUGUAUUAGUAUACUUGAUUUUGUGAGACUGUUGAAAUAUUACAAUUCUUUUUCCCUCUUAAGCCUGUAUCAUAAAAUCAUAUUUUCUGAUGAAAUUUAUUUUUUAAGAAUGUUGCAAUGCAGAAUUUAAUGAAAAUUCAUACAUUUGUAAAGUUACCUAUAUUGUGUUAGGUAAUAACUUAAGCCCAUAUAUUAUAGUAAUUGGCAAAUGAUUAAAGAGAACAUCUGAGUUUCUAGCUGACUUUCUGACCUCAUUCAUGUAACAACACCUACUAAUCUUCAGAAAUCAAGUAAAAUUGUCAUCUUUAAAACAGGUUUCAUUCUAAGAUAUACAAGGCAUAUAACAUCCUAUUUUACCAGCAUGUAUUUACUUUAAUAAAUAUAGUAGAUUUAGUUGUGUAUUUUGAUAAAUUUUGGAAAAAGCAUUAGGAGAUAUUUCUGCAACUGCAGUUUGUAUUAACUGAGUAUUUACUGGCACUGGAAUGUGCAUGAUCAGGGCUUUUCUGAAUAAACUUAGUAAGUCUUAAAUCUACAUUAGCCAUAGCUAUCCGUAAAAAGUCCAGCCAUUGUCUUGAUAGUUUUAAAGAGUUAAAUACAUUUGAGCCGCACCAUGAGAAAACCAACAUAGUGGCUUUGUGACCAUCAAAAAUCCAGAGCAGCCCACACAGUCUGGUCGAGAUCCACCCUGUUUGCUUUAAAAGCAUAUAUUGCAAUUAGAGAAACUGUUAGUGAACAGCAUGGAUCCUGACCAGACUGCACAGGCUGGUAUAGAUCCAUUCUGGUCGCAAACGCACUAUAUUGGUUUUCUCAUGGCCCGGCUCAUUUAAAGUUGUAUCUAGCAAAAUAUUGACUAAACUGUUCUGUAGAUAAUUCGAUUUAAUUUGAUUGUUAAAGGAAGAAUGUGCAUCAUGAUUGUUAUUACAUGAACAUACUGUAUUAUUUUUAAAUAUCAUGAUAUUUUUCAGUCUUGGAUUACACUGUUAUUUGUUCAUAAUUUUGAAUUGUAUUUAAAAUGUAUAUAUUAAAUCAAAUGGCGAAGUAGA